Molecule: ribosomal RNA, 2927 nt
Filed under: Salmonella enterica subsp. enterica serovar Bareilly str. CFSAN000189
Lineage: Bacteria; Pseudomonadati; Pseudomonadota; Gammaproteobacteria; Enterobacterales; Enterobacteriaceae
Also listed under: 21 other names
Description: bacterial LSU rRNA
Rfam family: Bacterial large subunit ribosomal RNA
Source: RNAcentral
GGGUUGUGAGGUUAAGCGACUAAGCGUACACGGUGGAUGCCCUGGCAGUCAGAGGCGAUGAAGGGCGUGCUAAUCUGCGAUAAGCGCCGGUAAGGUGAUAUGAACCGUUAUAACCGGCGAUACCCGAAUGGGGAAACCCAGUGUGAUUCGUCACACUAUCAUUAACUGAAUCCAUAGGUUAAUGAGGCGAACCGGGGGAACUGAAACAUCUAAGUACCCCGAGGAAAAGAAAUCAACCGAGAUUCCCCCAGUAGCGGCGAGCGAACGGGGAGGAGCCCAGAGCCUGAAUCAGCAUGUGUGUUAGUGGAAGCGUCUGGAAAGGCGCGCGAUACAGGGUGACAGCCCCGUACACAAAAGCGCAUGUGCUGUGAGCUCGAUGAGUAGGGCGGGACACGUGGUAUCCUGUCUGAAUAUGGGGGGACCAUCCUCCAAGGCUAAAUACUCCUGACUGACCGAUAGUGAACCAGUACCGUGAGGGAAAGGCGAAAAGAACCCCGGCGAGGGGAGUGAAAAAGAACCUGAAACCGUGUACGUACAAGCAGUGGGAGCACAGGUUUACCUGUGUGACUGCGUACCUUUUGUAUAAUGGGUCAGCGACUUAUAUUCUGUAGCAAGGUUAACCGUAUAGGGGAGCCGUAGGGAAACCGAGUCUUAACCGGGCGUUAAGUUGCAGGGUAUAGACCCGAAACCCGGUGAUCUAGCCAUGGGCAGGUUGAAGGUUGGGUAACACUAACUGGAGGACCGAACCGACUAAUGUUGAAAAAUUAGCGGAUGACCUGUGGCUGGGGGUGAAAGGCCAAUCAAACCGGGAGAUAGCUGGUUCUCCCCGAAAGCUAUUUAGGUAGCGCCUCGUGAAUUCAUCUCCGGGGGUAGAGCACUGUUUCGGCUAGGGGGCCAUCCCGGCUUACCAACCCGAUGCAAACUGCGAAUACCGGAGAAUGUUAUCACGGGAGACACACGGCGGGUGCUAACGUCCGUCGUGAAGAGGGAAACAACCCAGACCGCCAGCUAAGGUCCCAAAGUCAUGGUUAAGUGGGAAACGAUGUGGGAAGGCACAGACAGCCAGGAUGUUGGCUUAGAAGCAGCCAUCAUUUAAAGAAAGCGUAAUAGCUCACUGGUCGAGUCGGCCUGCGCGGAAGAUGUAACGGGGCUAAACCAUGCACCGAAGCUGCGGCAGCGACGUUUAUGCGUUGUUGGGUAGGGGAGCGUUCUGUAAGCCUGCGAAGGUGGCCUGUGAGGGUUGCUGGAGGUAUCAGAAGUGCGAAUGCUGACAUAAGUAACGAUAAAGCGGGUGAAAAGCCCGCUCGCCGGAAGACCAAGGGUUCCUGUCCAACGUUAAUCGGGGCAGGGUGAGUCGACCCCUAAGGCGAGGCCGAAAGGCGUAGUCGAUGGGAAACGGGUUAAUAUUCCCGUACUUGGUGUUACUGCGAAGGGGGGACGGAGAAGGCUAUGUUGGCCGGGCGACGGUUGUCCCGGUUUAAGCGUGUAGGCUGGUUUUCCAGGCAAAUCCGGAAAAUCAAGGCUGAGGCGUGACGACGAGGCACUACGGUGCUGAAGCAACAAAUGCCCUGCUUCCAGGAAAAGCCUCUAAGCAUCAGGUAACAUCAAAUCGUACCCCAAACCGACACAGGUGGUCAGGUAGAGAAUACCAAGGCGCUUGAGAGAACUCGGGUGAAGGAACUAGGCAAAAUGGUGCCGUAACUUCGGGAGAAGGCACGCUGACACGUAGGUGAAGUGAUUUACUCAUGGAGCUGAAGUCAGUCGAAGAUACCAGCUGGCUGCAACUGUUUAUUAAAAACACAGCACUGUGCAAACACGAAAGUGGACGUAUACGGUGUGACGCCUGCCCGGUGCCGGAAGGUUAAUUGAUGGGGUCAGCGCAAGCGAAGCUCCUGAUCGAAGCCCCGGUAAACGGCGGCCGUAACUAUAACGGUCCUAAGGUAGCGAAAUUCCUUGUCGGGUAAGUUCCGACCUGCACGAAUGGCGUAAUGAUGGCCAGGCUGUCUCCACCCGAGACUCAGUGAAAUUGAACUCGCUGUGAAGAUGCAGUGUACCCGCGGCAAGACGGAAAGACCCCGUGAACCUUUACUAUAGCUUGACACUGAACAUUGAGCCUUGAUGUGUAGGAUAGGUGGGAGGCUUUGAAGCGUGGACGCCAGUCUGCGUGGAGCCGACCUUGAAAUACCACCCUUUAAUGUUUGAUGUUCUAACGUGGACCCGUAAUCCGGGUUGCGGACAGUGUCUGGUGGGUAGUUUGACUGGGGCGGUCUCCUCCUAAAGAGUAACGGAGGAGCACGAAGGUUGGCUAAUCCUGGUCGGACAUCAGGAGGUUAGUGCAAUGGCAUAAGCCAGCUUGACUGCGAGCGUGACGGCGCGAGCAGGUGCGAAAGCAGGUCAUAGUGAUCCGGUGGUUCUGAAUGGAAGGGCCAUCGCUCAACGGAUAAAAGGUACUCCGGGGAUAACAGGCUGAUACCGCCCAAGAGUUCAUAUCGACGGCGGUGUUUGGCACCUCGAUGUCGGCUCAUCACAUCCUGGGGCUGAAGUAGGUCCCAAGGGUAUGGCUGUUCGCCAUUUAAAGUGGUACGCGAGCUGGGUUUAGAACGUCGUGAGACAGUUCGGUCCCUAUCUGCCGUGGGCGCUGGAGAACUGAGGGGGGCUGCUCCUAGUACGAGAGGACCGGAGUGGACGCAUCACUGGUGUUCGGGUUGUCAUGCCAAUGGCACUGCCCGGUAGCUAAAUGCGGAAGAGAUAAGUGCUGAAAGCAUCUAAGCACGAAACUUGCCCCGAGAUGAGUUCUCCCUGAGACUUAGAGUCUCCUGAAGGAACGUUGAAGACGACGACGUUGAUAGGCCGGGUGUGUAAGCGCAGCGAUGCGUUGAGCUAACCGGUACUAAUGAACCGUGAGGCUUAACCUUACAACGCCGAAG